AUGGCGCUCCUCGUCGGGUCGAGCUCGGCGCGGCCGUUGGGCGGCAAUGUGCUGGCCGGAGAGACCGCUGCCGUGGUAGUCUCCGACGACUCCGGCCUCCAGCUUCUCCAGCGACUGUAUCUGCAGAACCUUCAGGGAGGACUACCAGGGCCGUCGUGCUCGACGAACAGCCCAAACGUUAAAUGCCCACCACCCCCAUCUAUGGGUUGA
This 210-nucleotide ribosomal RNA is filed under the name Triticum aestivum (bread wheat). Its description in RNAcentral is "partial small subunit ribosomal RNA". Lineage: Eukaryota; Viridiplantae; Streptophyta; Magnoliopsida; Poales; Poaceae. The record is from RNAcentral.